This 119-nucleotide ribosomal RNA is filed under the name Pteropus alecto (black flying fox). The record is from RNAcentral. Lineage: Eukaryota; Metazoa; Chordata; Mammalia; Chiroptera; Pteropodidae.
GUCUGCGGCCAUGCCACCCUGAACAAGCCUGAUCCCGUCUGAUCUCGGAAGCUAAGCACGGUCAGGCCUGGUUAGUACUUGGAUGGGAGACCACCUAGGAAGACCAGGUGCUGUAGGUG